CUUCUACCUGUUGAGACCACACUGCUGAGCAGACCAACAACCGUAAGCAGAUCAGAACCAGCCAGCCCAGCGGACAGUGGCAGACCAUUCAACCAGUGGGUUGAACAACGGCUUUGUUUUCCUCAAAGGAAACCAAGCCAGGAGAGGAGGAACGAGGAAAUGUUUGAGACAUGAGACGUCCUUUCCUCCGAAGCGUCAGGUGUUCUGGGCUCCUUCCAGCUGUCUCUUGUAGAGGCUUUCUAUGUGGCUGAUCUGCUCCUUUUGUCUCUGGAUCUCCUCCUGGAACUCAUUCUUCUUCAUCUCAGCUACUCCACGCUCCGCUGCUCCACGUCGCACCAGGCCUUCCAACUCAUACAGCUUAGUCUGUAUCACACAAACAAAGACAAAUGGGUUAAGCCAUCUGAACAAAGACGGCGAAGAGGGAAAGCACAGGGUGCGUGCUGAAGAAGGUGCACUCGGACCAGACUACUGCUGCUGAGAGGAGACACAGGAGAACUGCCAGCAGCCUGUAGAAACCCCGUCUGAACACACACUCCCAGUACCACUCUGAGAAGGACACACACCCCCACAAACAAACACACCUAUGCAUGAGUACAAAAUGUUGGAGGAACAAUCAAAGUCCAAAUCUACACAUAAAACAUACCGCAUACAUGGAUUAUUUUUUAUUAUACCUUUAUUUUACCAUGCAAGUUAAUUAAGAACAGUUUCUCAUUUACAAUAACGGCCUGGCUGGAGACAAAGGCCUCCUGUGAGAAAGGGUACUGGGAUUAAAUAAAAACAUGAAACAAUAGACAGAGGAUGCAGGACAACAACACAGUCCCAACAACCAACCUUAAAACCGGGCACAAGGACACGAAGAGACCAGAUGAGAAAAUAAUGAAAAGAUAGAUAAAGAAACAUAACAGAUAAUCUACAGAGAGUAGACAAUACAAAAAAUGGCAAAAUGGUUGAAUAAUGAAAACAAUCUAGAUAGUAUACAUAUAACAACAACAAAUAACAUCACAUGAAGCAUUUACAGUUUUGUAAACAAGUUUGUGAUUUGCCUUUAAAAGUGGCAGUGGUGACUAGAGUGGACAGUUUUAUUGUUUUUUGUAGUUGGCUCCAAUCGUUGGGUGCAGCGAACUGAAAGGUAGUGCGACCUAAUGAUGUGUUAGCUGAAGGGAUUUGUAGCCGAGUUUCACUUGAAGAGCGGGUGCUGUAGGUGACGGAAGAAGGAUGAAGUAGACAUCCCAAAUACUGAGGGGUUAGGCCAAAGAGAGUUUUGUAAAUUAGCAUAAACCACUGGAUCUUACGUCAACUAUGAAGUAAGUGAGUUUAUGGAGGUGUAUAAAUUGCAGUGGUGUGUCCUGUAAGGAGCAUUGGUGGCAAAUCUGAUAGCUGAGUGAUAAAGAACAUCUAGCCGCUCGAGAAGCCCCUUACCUGCACACAUGUAAAUUACAUCACCAAAGUGUAGUAUGGGUUAUAUAGUCACCUGAAUCAGGGUGAGUUUAGCAGAUGGGGUGAAUGAUGACUGAUUACGGUAGAGAAACCCCAAUCUGGCCAUUUAAUGUACGUGGAUUCAUACACACACACACAAACAAUUGUUGUUAUGGUGUUGGUAUUUUCUGUUUUUUCCUGUUUAUUUAUCACAUCUAGAUUCUGUUUUCUUGGUUAUGUAUUGUUUGUACUUGGUUAAAUCAGUCCUCCUGUGUUUUUGAAUGCUUUACCUCCUGUUUAAUUUUGAAGUUGUCCAAGUUAGUUGUUGCUGGUCCUUUUGGAUUUCCCGCUCAGUUUCUGGAUUUAUGCUCUUACAUUUAGAUUCUGCCUUUAUUGGACAUCUGCCAUGCUUUCAUGUUAGCCUGUUUAUUAGUUCUUGUCAGCUUGAAGAUGAAAUCUGCUGAAGUUAAACUGAUUUCAACCUUUGGUCACCGGAGCUUAGAGUAAAGCUUUCUGUUGAAGCAGGCAGUUAGAGACAUUUAUCUGGCAAACUGGGUCUACAUUCAUACUUAUUAGAAGACCAGAAAUGGAAAAAAAUUGCAGCACUCAGGAUCACACUAGCAGGCUAUUAAAAGUGAAGUCAAGUAAAUCAAGUCUCAAAGAAUGGAAAUAUCUCAAUCGGAAGUACCUUAAUUUUGUAAGAAGUAAAAUAUUUUCCAUGUGUACAUUUCAGAUUGUGGUACUCACCCACAGCAGGAGAGUAGAACCUAUGCAUCCAGCUGUUGUGGUGUGCUGUGGGGAAGCUGUGGGUGAAGUGUCGCACCGGGCUGCUUUGACUUUUAGCGACAUCUUCUAGAUGAAAGGCCUCGUCUAACAAGAUAGACCAUUGAACCUGAGUCUGACCGUGUCUCUGCACCACAGAGAUUACCUGAAAGGAAAAUACAGGCAGCACGGGAAAAUAAUUAUUCAUGUCAUAUUUUUUUAAUUGUUUCCUUUACAAUCACUGUGCAAUGUUAAGAAUAAUAAUUACCUUUUUAUGAAGCUUAACUAGGUGUCUUUUGGUGGGAAGGACAUCCUGUUCACCAGAAGAGCAUUCCACAUUUCUUCUCAUCUCUUCCUGGUACUCAGUGGGACACUGAAAUGAGAUGCCACACAAAUGAGGACAGUCCCACACACACACCUGCCUG
Micropterus dolomieu (smallmouth bass) is the source of this 2603-nucleotide long non-coding RNA. RefSeq lists it as uncharacterized. NCBI's taxonomy places the organism in Eukaryota, Metazoa, Chordata, Actinopteri, Centrarchiformes, Centrarchidae. The record is from RefSeq and is a predicted model, not a curated record. The transcript is spliced from 4 exons.